RNAcentral lists this ribosomal RNA (2439 nucleotides) under Triticum aestivum (bread wheat). Its description in RNAcentral is "partial small subunit ribosomal RNA". The record is from RNAcentral. Lineage: Eukaryota; Viridiplantae; Streptophyta; Magnoliopsida; Poales; Poaceae.
AUGAGCCUCGCCUCCCUCGCCCGCGCCGCCGCCCGGUCCGCGCGCUCCUCCCGCCCGCGCCAGGGUUUCUCCCUGGGCGGGCUCCGGGCGCCGCCAUCGCCGCCGCUCCCGCCGGCCCACGGCGGGGACGCCGGGCCGCUCGGGCUCGUGCGCGGGUACCUGACGGCGUCGCUGGGGAGCCCUGCCGCGGUCAAGACCUCGGAGUGGAGGUACCUCCUCGCCAGCCCGCAGUUCCGCAGGCUCUUCUGCAGCGGCUCUAAGAAGAAUUACGAGAAUUACUACCCCAAGGGGAAGAAGGAGGCGCCCAAAGGGGAUGGGAGCAACAAGGAUUCCAAGCAGGAAUCCGAUACAGAUGGUCAAUGGAAUUUCCAGGAUGGUACUUUCAAGCAGCUGCAGAACUUCUUGGGACCUCUAUUGCUUUUAGGCCUGAUGUUCUCAUCCUUGUCUUCAAGCUCAUCAGACCAGAAGGAGAUAAGCUUCCAAGAAUUCAAGAACAAGUUACUGGAACCUGGCCUGGUUGAUCGUAUUGUUGUUUCAAAUAAAUCAGUGGCGAAGGUCUACGUCAGGACUACACCACAGACGAACGGCCAAAGCCAAAAUACUGAUACACAGAUUACGACCGUAGAUGUUCCAGGCAGACAGGCUCCCAGCAAAUACAAGUAUUUCUUCAAUAUUGGAAGUGUCGAGUCGUUUGAAGAAAAGUUAGAGGAAGCCCAGGAAAAUUUGGGUAUAGAUUCACAUGAUUAUGUUCCAGUAACUUAUGUUGCUGAAGUAAAUUGGUUCCAAGAAGUGAUGAGAUUUGCCCCAACAGCGUUCCUUGUUGGACUACUAUAUUUUAUGGGGAAAAGGAUGCAGAGUGGAUUUAAUAUUGGAGGUGGUCCUGGGAAGGGUAGCCGUGGUAUCUUUAACAUUGGAAAAGCAACAGUAACAAAGAUGGACAAAAAUUCUAAAAAUAAGGUGUUUUUUAAGGAUGUAGCAGGCUGUGAUGAAGCUAAACAAGAAAUAAUGGAGUUUGUGCAUUUCCUUAAAAAUCCCAAGAAGUAUGAAGAGUUGGGAGCUAAGAUACCCAAAGGUGCCCUGCUUGUAGGUCCUCCUGGAACUGGAAAGACUCUACUUGCUAAAGCUACAGCAGGAGAAUCUGGUGUGCCCUUUAUGUCCAUUUCUGGUUCCGAUUUCAUGGAAAUGUUCGUAGGUGUUGGACCAUCCAGGGUAAGAAACUUAUUCCAAGAGGCUCGGCAGUGUGCACCUAGUAUUGUAUUUAUUGAUGAGAUCGAUGCAAUCGGUCGCGCAAGAGGCCGUGGAGGUUUUUCUGGUUCAAAUGAUGAGCGAGAAAGUACUUUGAACCAGCUGCUUGUAGAGAUGGAUGGAUUUGGUACAACUGCUGGUGUUGUUGUUCUUGCUGGUACAAAUAGACCUGACAUCCUUGACAAGGCACUGCUAAGGCCUGGAAGAUUUGAUCGCCAGAUAACAAUUGACAAACCAGAUAUAAAGGGCCGUGAUCAGAUAUUCCGCAUAUAUCUUACAAAACUUAAACUGGACAAUGACCCAACAUAUUUUUCGCAAAGGCUAGCUGCUUUGACACCUGGGUUUGCUGGAGCUGACAUUGCGAAUGUUUGUAAUGAAGCUGCUUUGAUUGCUGCAAGAACCGAUGAAACUCAGAUUACAAUGCAGCAUUUUGAGUCUGCAAUUGAUAGGAUUAUUGGUGGUUUAGAGAAGAAAAACAAGGUAAUUAGCAAACUGGAGCGACGUACUGUUGCUUACCAUGAAGCUGGGCAUGCUGUUGCCGGAUGGUUUUUAGAACAUGCAGAGCCUCUUCUGAAAGUUACAAUUGUUCCCCGUGGAACAGCUGCUUUAGGCUUUGCACAGUAUGUACCAAAUGAAAAUCUUUUGAUGACAAAGGAACAGCUCUUUGAUAUGACAUGCAUGACGUUAGGUGGCCGAGCUGCGGAGGAGGUUUUGAUCGGAAGAAUCUCGACUGGUGCCCAGAAUGAUCUGGAGAAAGUUACAAAGAUGACAUAUGCGCAAGUUGCUGUGUAUGGUUUCAGUGAUAAGGUUGGUCUUCUAUCCUUCCCUCAGCGGGAGGAUGGCUUUGAAAUGAACAAGCCUUACAGCAACCAGACCGCAUCCAUCAUCGAUACUGAGGUGAGGGAAUGGGUCGCCAAGGCCUACAAAAGAACAGUCGACCUAUUAACUGAGAAGAAGGAACAAGUUGCUCUCAUCGCGGAGUUGCUGCUCGAGAAGGAGGUCCUCCACCAGGACGAUCUGACCAGGGUAUUAGGAGACCGCCCCUUCAAGGCAGCCGAGCUAACAAACUACGACCUCUUCAAGCAGGGGUUCCAGGACGAAGAGGGCAAGACUACAGAGCCCGCCAAGAAUGCCGAGGUGCCUGAUGACGACGGGCCGGCCGCUGCGCUUCCUGAUGUCGUCGUGCCGACGUAG